ACGGGUGAGUGGCACGGGGGCAACCUGCCUGUAACACUGGGAUAACUUCAGGAUGCCCAACCUAAUACCGGAUAUGAUCUUCUCCUUCUGGGAAGAUGAUUGAACGAUGGUUUCUGAUAUCGCUUACAUAUGGGCCCGUUGAGCUUUAGCUAUUUGGUGACGUAACAGCUCACCAUGGAAACGAUGCGUAGCCCACCUGAGAGGGUGAUCGGCCACUCUGGGACUGACACACGGUCCACACUCCUACGGGAGGCAGCAGCAUGGAAUCUUCCGCAUUGGACGAAAGUCUGACGAACCAAGGCCGCGCGAGUGAUGAAAGUUUUCCGGUCGUAAAACUCUGUUGUUAGGGAACAACAAUGACCAAACUAACUGCUUGUACCUUGACGGGACCUAACCUNNAAGCCACGGCUAACUACGAGCCAACAACCUGGGUAAGACCUACGUGGCAAUCGUUAUCCGGAAUUAUUGGGCGCAAAUCGCGCGCNCGCGGUUUCUUAACUCUGAUGUGAAAGCCCACGGCUCAACNNUGGAGGGUCAUUGCAAACUGGGGAACUUGAGUGCAUAAGAGAAAAGCGGAAUUCCACACGUAGCGGUGAAAUGCGUAGAGAUGUGAAGGAACGCCAUGGCUAAGGCGGCUUCUGGUCUGUANCUGACGCUGAGGCGCGAACGCACCGGAGCACACCUGAUUACAUACUCUGGCNCCNCACCUCGUACACUAUGANUGCUACUGUUAAAUGGUUCCGCCUUUAUGCUGCAGCUAACGCAUUNGCACUCNGCCUGCGNAGUCGGUCGCAGACUGAACUCAAAGAAUGACGGGGNNCGCACACUGAGGACAUGUNCUGAUCCAUCACNCNANACUUACAGGCUNACUCUCGACACCUGAUUNAGCUUCACUUCGGGA
Molecule: ribosomal RNA, 901 nt
Filed under: Priestia megaterium
Lineage: Bacteria; Bacillati; Bacillota; Bacilli; Caryophanales; Bacillaceae
Description: partial 16S ribosomal RNA
Rfam family: Bacterial small subunit ribosomal RNA
Source: RNAcentral